Molecule: long non-coding RNA, 1561 nt
Organism: Prosopis cineraria
Lineage: Eukaryota; Viridiplantae; Streptophyta; Magnoliopsida; Fabales; Fabaceae
Exons: 2
Source: RefSeq, a predicted model, not a curated record
UUGAAUGCAAUGGCCUCCUUUGUGGCACGCGCUAUGGCAGACGGCAAUGUGCUCCGCAACGCACGGCCAAAAAUAUGAUAUAUCAGAUUCAUAUUAGCGCGAGAAAAACAGAAAGAGGAAGAGAAAAAUAAAGGAGCUCGACUUUGGCUCUACUAGGGCUUAUUAUUGGAGCAUAUUGGUGAUAGAUUGAAACUUUCAAAUACCCAAGCGUGAAUCAUUUGGCACCAUUUGAGCUUGUUGAAGCUUUGGAAGUUGUUAUUGUGAGCGGUAAACCUUUGAUUUCUCAAAGGUUCAGGCAACUGGAGGAAAUUUAAUCUUUAUAGUUGAAUAUUAAUUGUGUUUGUAAAAUGUAAUUUAUGAUUUAAAUUUAUGAUGCAUAUUGGUAAUGUGUUUGACUUGCGAAAUGGUUUAAAAAAAAAACCUUGAUUAUGCCACCUACUUGUGAUUUAUAAAUUUAGUUGUGGCAUGUUGAUGUGAAAGCAAAUAAUUGUGUGGUGUAAUGUGUUGAUGAUGUGGAGUAUAUCAGUGAGUAUGUUGGAAUAUUUGUCAUGAAUGAAUCCUUGAAAUAUAUACAAUGUGAAAAAUGUGCAGAGCAUGAUCAUUGGUGGGAGUUUUCCUAAGGAGAGGAGUAGAUUGAUUUAGAUCCACGUGGUAUUGGCAGUGACCAUUGGAAUCGAAAAUUGGCCUUCGCACUAACCGUUGGAAUCGGGAGGUAGCCCUUGUCCCAUGGUUGAUUCAGGACUGUCCCACUUAUUUUACAAGGAACUCGAACCUAGCUAGUCUCCACCGGUUCAUGAAGAGGCUAGAUUAGAGGUACAACACCCCAUAGUUGUUAGCAUUGGGGGAAACUAGAUUACAUAAAUGAGUGAGUUAACCCUGGCCUGGUAGCUCCUCAUAAGUGGAAGGUUGGGUUAAUCCGUGAAGGACGUAGCUGCGUGAUAGCUACCGGUUUUGUGUUAGAGGUAACAAGAGGGUAUAAGGGUGGCAUAUGAUCAUGCAUAUAAGACUGGCUAUAUGGUUGUUAGUUUUAUGGUCUGACAUAUGUUAGGGGUGCAUGGUUGUUAUUAUUACAACCCCGUGUUGUGCCUUGUGAAAUAUUAUGAUAUUGUGUGUUGUGGGCCCGAUCACAUGGUUGCUAGUUUUGUGAACUAUGGCCAAAUGUUUAUAUGUGGUAUUUGUGUAUUUGCCUAAUUAAAUCUAUUUACAAUUGAUAUACAACUAUAUAGGUUAGGUAAAACUUGGUUACUAAAUGGUUGUACUCACCCCUCAAUUCUUAAUAUUUGUAGGACCUUGCUCAUCGAAUCCGAGUCAGGAAAAACAUACAGAGGCCUAAGAUUGUGAAGUAAUCCUCUAUAUGCCUCUUUUUAGUUGUUCCAUGUGUAUUUGGUAAUAUAAUUGCCAAUUAGGAUCACAUACUAAUGUUUUUAUAGUACUUGCAUUAUUUUGUGCAAAUGGUGUAUUUUGUGCUAUGGGUUAGUGAGUUUUAGUUAUAAACCCGUGGAUAGGGCCAAAAUACUUGUGCAAGUAAAAAUAUAUGUAUUUUGAAAGAUUUAGAAUGAAA